UACGAAGGGGGCUAGCGUUGCUCGGAAUCACUGGGCGUAAAGCGCACGUAGGCGGCUUCUUAAGUCAGUGGUGAAAUCCUGGGGCUCAACCCCAGAACUGCCCUUGAUACUGAGGAGCUUGAGUCCGGGAGAGGUGAGUGGAACUCCGAGUGUAGAGGUGAAAUUCGUAGAUAUUCGGAAGAACACCAGUGGCGAAGGCGGCUCACUGGCCCGGUACUGACGCUGAGGUCCGAAGGCGCGGGGAGCAAACAGG
Molecule: ribosomal RNA, 253 nt
Filed under: uncultured bacterium
Lineage: Bacteria
Description: partial 16S ribosomal RNA
Rfam family: Bacterial small subunit ribosomal RNA
Source: RNAcentral